Molecule: long non-coding RNA, 2266 nt
Organism: Phyllostomus hastatus (greater spear-nosed bat)
Lineage: Eukaryota; Metazoa; Chordata; Mammalia; Chiroptera; Phyllostomidae
Exons: 2
Source: RefSeq, a predicted model, not a curated record
UCAGGCCUGGACACGACACUUCCAGCUCAAAUAAGGCUGAAUAAGGCUGAUUUGUGUUGAAUAAGGCUGAUUAACACAGAAAUCCUCUGGGAAGCCGAAGACAGCACACCAGUGUGGACUGGCUGCCCUCCCUUCUCAGUCGGACUUGAUCUCGCCAAAUCAAGAAUGGAUUAUUUGAAUCUGCGAGAUGUGAAAUGCAAACUCAGAGUGUUUGGUGGAAAGGUAAGGAAAACCAAUCUGGAAGCUGUAGUCAGAAGGACCGGGCUCUGAGGUGAGGACACCUUGAAGCCAGCCACGGCACGGACUGAACCGGAAAAAGCAGCAGGACCAGCCUGGGCGGCGGUCACAGGAGAGGAGGCACCGUGGUUUAAAAACAAAGCAGAACCCUCAGGCCUACCGUUCCCAGAAGCCAGAACAUCAGCUCCUCUGCGAGUACCUUCAACUGCUUUUCAUCCCUGUCCAGCCUGGCAGGUAGGACUGGUAUUUCCCCUCCUGUGGAGGAUGUUGUUGAGACAGCAGGCGUUCCCCCACCGCACUGGAAAUGCACUGGAAACGUAGGAGGGCCCCACGUUUAAAACCUGGCGAACACUCUCCAUUAAUUGACCAAGGCAGAAUUUGGCAACCUUCCUCUCUGAAGGACCAGAGAGGAAGUAUUUAAGGCUUUGACAGCCAUUUACGGUCAAUGUCACAAAUUUGUCUUUGUCUAAAGGCCACUUAAAAAUGACAAAAAGAAAAAAAAAAAACUUCUUAACAGAAUGUAUAAAACUAAGCCACAGCCCAGAAAGAGGGUGGACCUUUGGACAGGGUUUUUUUUUGCCUUUUUAUUAAAAAGUAAAAUAAAAUAAAUAGAGAUCUUGAGAAUCGUUCUAAAGUUGCUGAGAAAUGUUACAAAACUAGUCCAGUCCUAACUCACAUCCUGAGAAAUAACCAGGAGAGAGGUCAGUGUUCUGUGAUGGCAUCGCCGGUUCCCACAGGAGCAGAAGAAGUGGGUGCCCAAGAGUUCUGAAACCGCAGCAUCAAAAUAUCCUUUAUAUUUUGGGGAAUUCACAGCUCUCAUAAGGUUAAAAAGGCCACUUUUCCAGAAUCAGAAAAGGCUAACUGUUGCAUCGGACACAUUCUUUUUUUCACCCUGGUGAACUAGAAGAAAAGCCUUCUGGAAAGAACCAUGGCUUUAUCAACUGUGAUCCUUACCAAAAGCACAAACCACAACGCUGGACACAUUCUUUUGACUUGGAGAAUUCUGAGAGGAGCUGAAUUGAGAAUUCUACCCAACAGUCAGUGGCAGUGAGAGACUGGAUGUAUACACGGCCAGUGACCAGACCAUAUAUAAAGAUAGAACUCUGACCCACCAUCAGCAGUCACCAGCCCAGGAAGGCAACUCCUUAUCAGCAGGAAUCGGUCAUGGAAGCCAGUCGCUAUCUCCAAAUCAGACUGGUUGGAAGUUGGGCUGCUAUCUCCAGUAACAUUCCAGGGCAGCCAAAAAAUAGCAUGAUCAGCCCCAAAUGGCCAGGGUUUAAUUAAUUAUGGACAGUUUCCCUAAUUUUUGUCCCUGCUUCCAACUGAGCACCAACCAGAAUAACUCAGGGACUCUUUAAUUUGAGACACUGACGUUACAAAUGAAGAAAGUAAGGCACAGAGCUUUUUAAUCCCACAUUCCUUCCAUGAUGUUACAUUGCUUUCCUGAAGGUGAGGUCAUGUCACACCAGGCUGGGCUGAAGUCCCCUCCUUCUGUGAAAUGGAGCACAGAACCUCAUGAGUUAGCGGGGUGCCAUUUGUUUUAUUAAAUACCUACUAUGUGUCCAGUGUUACAGUGAAUAUAGAGACACAUACAAUACGAUCGGAUGAAUUAGUCGAAGAGGCCCAUAUACAGAGAAUUUGGAAAUUACAUAAAAUGCAUGAAGAACAUAAGAUGGCCUUUCCAAAGCACAUUCCAAAGAAUGUUAAUAACUGCUAAGUGAAAAAAGAGACUUCUGUAUCAAAAGCAUUCAGAAAUCAAAAUCCCAAAGAGUCCUUUUGUGGAUACCGACACACUGAUUCUGAAGUUCACGUGGAAUGGCAAAAGACUCAGAAUAACCAGCGCAGUGUUGAAAAGGAAGAACAAAGUUGGAGGGCCGGCAUGACCCAGCUCCAUGAACAUUUCCCCUGUUCUGUUGUCUAGCACACAACUGCCAUCCAAUGAAUAUUUAUUUCAUGAAUGAAAACCCUUCUCUAGCAAAUAGGAUGUGUGAAGGAAUGUUAGCAAUCAAUAAUAAUACGAUAAGAGUUA